This 450-nucleotide ribosomal RNA is filed under the name uncultured bacterium. RNAcentral's name for it is "partial 16S ribosomal RNA". It matches the Rfam family "Bacterial small subunit ribosomal RNA", at positions 338 to 795 of the family's 1533-position model. The record is from RNAcentral.
CCUACGGGAGGCUGCAGUAAGGAAUAUUGGUCAAUGGACGAAAGUCUGAACCAGCCAUCCCGCGUGCAGGAUGAAAGCCCUAUGGGUUGUAAACUGCUUUUAGCAGAGAAGAAAAGCUUUCAUUAAUGAGAGUCUGACGGUAUCUGCAGAAUAAGCACCGGCUAACUCCGUGCCAGCAGCCGCGGUAAUACGGAGGGUGCGAGAGUUAUCCGGAAUUACUGGGUUGAAGGGGGAGGAAGAAGGCAUAUUAUAAAUCUUGUCGCUUAACGAUAAAAUUGCCAAGUAUACUGGUACUCUUGAAUUGGGUUGAGGUUAGCGGAAUGUGACAUGUAGCGGUGAAAUGCAUAGAUAUGUCAUGGAACACCAAUUGCGAAGGCAGCUAACUGGGCCUUGAUUGACGCUGAGGCACGAAAGCGUGGGUAGCGAACAGGAUUAGAUACCCUGGUAGUC